This 73-nucleotide transfer RNA is filed under the name Bacteroides sp. 3_1_33FAA. Its description in RNAcentral is "tRNA-Gly". It matches the Rfam family "tRNA". Rfam says of the family: Transfer RNA (tRNA) molecules are approximately 80 nucleotides in length. Their secondary structure includes four short double-helical elements and three loops (D, anti-codon, and T loops). Lineage: Bacteria; Pseudomonadati; Bacteroidota; Bacteroidia; Bacteroidales; Bacteroidaceae. The record is from RNAcentral.
GCGGCAGUAGCUCAGUUGGUAGAGCAUCAGCUUCCCAAGCUGAGGGUCGCGGGUUCAAGCCCCGUUUGCCGCU